Molecule: non-coding RNA, 219 nt
Organism: Schizosaccharomyces pombe (fission yeast)
Lineage: Eukaryota; Fungi; Ascomycota; Schizosaccharomycetes; Schizosaccharomycetales; Schizosaccharomycetaceae
Source: the annotation of a GenBank genome assembly
CAAUUGAUGAUUUUUUAAAUAGAAAAGAUUUGAACCAUUCCAAUUCUGAAUUACGAAGACGUGAAGAGCCCAGAAUGUAGUAAGCGCAACGAAGUGCAGAUAAAAGAACAUUCGUUGAUGAAGUGUUUAAAUUUGAUUUAAUACAUUUCCAUAUUUCUUUUAUCAAAUCUUCAUUCGUAGACUGAAUAGAUGUUUCAAUGCAUUUCGACAGUCCAUCUA